This 114-nucleotide ribosomal RNA is filed under the name Triticum aestivum (bread wheat). Its description in RNAcentral is "partial small subunit ribosomal RNA". The record is from RNAcentral. Lineage: Eukaryota; Viridiplantae; Streptophyta; Magnoliopsida; Poales; Poaceae.
AUGAAGCAUGCCCCUGGUCCAUUGAGCAGGCCAGUAUGGCGGCACAUUGUGAUAUCCAAUCACCCAAACACUACCACUACUGGCUCCAACAGGUGCCAAAGGGCAAAGGGGUAG